GAGGGUAUAGCUUAGUGGUAGAGCGUAUGCUUAGUAAGUAUGAGGUCCUGGGUUCAACCCCUAGUACCUUCA
This 72-nucleotide transfer RNA is filed under the name Camelus bactrianus (Bactrian camel). It matches the Rfam family "tRNA". From Rfam's summary of the family: Transfer RNA (tRNA) molecules are approximately 80 nucleotides in length. Their secondary structure includes four short double-helical elements and three loops (D, anti-codon, and T loops). Further hydrogen bonds mediate the characteristic L-shaped molecular structure. tRNAs have two regions of fundamental functional importance: the anti-codon, which is responsible for specific mRNA codon recognition, and the 3' end, to which the tRNAs corresponding amino acid is attached (by aminoacyl-tRNA synthetases). tRNAs cope with the degeneracy of the genetic code in two manners: having more than one tRNA (with a specific anti-codon) for a particular amino acid; and 'wobble' base-pairing, i.e. permitting non-standard base-pairing at the 3rd anti-codon position. RNAcentral also lists the same sequence under 2 other names. The record is from Rfam by way of RNAcentral. Lineage: Eukaryota; Metazoa; Chordata; Mammalia; Artiodactyla; Camelidae.